This 312-nucleotide unclassified non-coding RNA is filed under the name plant metagenome. Its description in RNAcentral is "partial contains small subunit ribosomal RNA and internal transcribed spacer 1". The record is from RNAcentral.
AAGGUCGUAACAAGGUUUUCCCGUAGGUGAACCUGCGGAAGGAUCAUUAAAUGAGUUGUCCUGCACCCCGUCUGGGGGAAUUGAGGGUCUACGGGUGAGGCUCGGAGUUAAACCCCCAGGGUCCCCGUCUCUUCCACCCUGUGUAUACCUUCCACGUUGCUUUGGCGGGCCCUGGGUACGUCCUUCUGGGCACCCUGCCGGCGUCGAACUUCGUCCCCCAGCCGGCGAGCGCCCGCCAGAGACCCUUUACCAUUCUGAUUUUUUUUCCCGAACUGUCGUCUGAGCAAAAAAGCACAAAAGUAAAAGUAAAAU